Limulus polyphemus (Atlantic horseshoe crab) is the source of this 83-nucleotide long non-coding RNA. RefSeq lists it as uncharacterized. Lineage: Eukaryota; Metazoa; Arthropoda; Merostomata; Xiphosura; Limulidae. The transcript is spliced from 2 exons. The record is from RefSeq and is a predicted model, not a curated record.
CAUUAAUGCUAUGUAGUACUACUAAAUGAAUGUAAAAUAAACUAGGUUAGUUAUCAAUGCUAUGUAGUACUACUAAAUGAAUG